GACGAACGCUGGCGGCGUGCCUAAUACAUGCAAGUCGAGCGGAAUGAUGAAGAAGCUUGCUUCUUCUGAUUUUAGCGGCGGACGGGUGAGUAACACGUGGACAACCUACCUUGUAGAUUGGGAUAACUCCGGGAAACCGGGGCUAAUACCGAAUAAUCCAUUUUGCUUCAUGGCGAGAUGUUGAAAGACGGUUUCGGCUGUCACUAUAAGAUGGGCCCGCGGCGCAUUAGCUAGUUGGUAGGGUAAUGGCCUACCAAGGCGACGAUGCGUAGCCGACCUGAAAGGGUGAUCGGCCACACUGGGACUGAGACACGGCCCAGACUCCUACGGGAGGCAGCAGUAGGGAAUCUUCCACAAUGGACGAAAGUCUGAUGGAGCAACGCCGCGUGAGUGAAGAAGGUUUUCGGAUCGUAAAACUCUGUUGUAAGGGAAGAACACGUACGAGAGUAACUGCUCGUACCUUGACGGUACCUUAUUAGAAAGCCACGGCUAACUACGUG
This 500-nucleotide ribosomal RNA is filed under the name uncultured bacterium. RNAcentral describes it as "bacterial SSU rRNA". It matches the Rfam family "Bacterial small subunit ribosomal RNA", at positions 28 to 507 of the family's 1533-position model. The record is from RNAcentral.